CAUCUCUGCCCUACCUCUCAGCCGGCCCAGCACUCUGCGGGUCUGGGAAAGAGGUGUCCUGUGUCCUGCUCCCUGGGCUCAGUGCCAGGAAGGGAGUAGCGGGGGAGCCCCCGGGGCAUCCGGCUUGUUGGAGAGGCAGGGCAGGCCACAGAGGGUGCCCCACUCAGUCAGAAGCAAGGGGGAGGUUGCUGGGCCUGAAGAAGCUGAGCGUGAAGCCCUGGAGGAAUCCCAUGCAGACCUGACCCCACUCCCAGCACCUUGGUCCACGGAGUCUCCACCGUGAACCUGGCACGAUCCUGGUGUUAUUUGUGUGUUCGAUGGGGAUAAUAAAUGUGGAAGGGGUGCAGACAUGAGCUUCCUCUGGGAGACUGGCCAUUCCCUCUGUGACGCCCUGGCAAUCCCGCCAGCGCAGGACCUGGAUCAGAUGUCCUACUAAAUUCUACUCUGACCUUCCUCCUCAUUGGCAGUAAUAGCAGUUGGCAUUCACUGAGUGCACAUAUGAGUGAGCAUUGCUCCAUUAAGGUGCAAAGACCUUGCAGACCUAACAGAAGUUUAAGGAGAGCCAGUGCAUUGGAGGUGGCAGUCAAGUGCAAAGACUCGGACUGCGGACUCUGAG
Molecule: long non-coding RNA, 616 nt
Organism: Hyaena hyaena (striped hyena)
Lineage: Eukaryota; Metazoa; Chordata; Mammalia; Carnivora; Hyaenidae
Exons: 4
Source: RefSeq, a predicted model, not a curated record